Long non-coding RNA from Triplophysa dalaica, 1528 nucleotides. RefSeq lists it as uncharacterized. The record is from RefSeq and is a predicted model, not a curated record. Lineage: Eukaryota; Metazoa; Chordata; Actinopteri; Cypriniformes; Nemacheilidae. The transcript is spliced from 3 exons.
UCACAAUGUGGUGUACAGCCACCCUUGAGCAAUCGCUGGUUUGUGAGCAUGCCAAACAGGGUGAUUAAGCUAUAGAAUGGAUCAAAAAGUGUUGGAACAGCGCAAAUAAAAAAGCAGCAAUGAUUUUGCUCCUCUGGCGCUACAGCAGACGGAUGAGAUGCCAUUAUGGUGCGUUAGCUAUAGUGAUAAAAGCACAUUCUCCAAAAGCGCGCGGUUGACAGAAUACUGUUACCAGCUUUCGGAUAACAAUCACGGCGAGUCCGCGACCAAACAUCUUUGAAAAUCUGAGAAAGGACAGUGAAAGAUGUUUUCCUGAUAACCAACUGGACAUUGGAAAAUGAUCUUGGUAAAAUGUCGUUUUGCUGUAUUUUAAAGCGACCAAUAUGCAGUGGACGGGGGCAGAAUUGCUGCUGCUUUUCAUUUUCCCAUUUAAUUCAGCCCAGAAAUCUGAACUACCUGCAGUAAUGGACAGUUACAUGUUGCCUGACUUUUCAUCCCAACCAGGGCCAUCAUACCUGAGUCUCAUUCUUUUGGCUCUGACUGUGGGUCUGUCUGGAACUGUCUACCUCUGUGUGCUGCGCUACAUUUGUACAGGCUGUUGUCAGCCUGUAGUUGUUAGACCUGAGGACGACAGCAUGUCAGGAGUGGUAUAGCUGUUUUUUAAGAGUGAAAAAAGGUGCAUGUUUGUGUAUAUGUGAAGGUCUUUCUGUGGUAAAACACUUGUCCCUUUGAGUAGUUCAACUGGCAUUGUCUAUCAGCAGUUAAUUGUUUUGUUAUACACUGUAUAUUCUGUUUAUAUAUUUUUUAGUUGUGGCUAUUGAAAGUGCCUAUACAUACACUGUCUAUUCAGUUUGGGAUGAGUUGAAGACUUAAUAUGUCGAAACGCAUAUAGUUAUAAAAAAUGCUUGGCACUCAAUAUUGAGUUAUCCUAUACAAAUUCAGGGAUGUGACCAGCUGCAGGAAGCUGUAAAAAAGUAUUUACUGAGGGAGAGAGAUUUAUAUUUAAAAGACUCUGAAUGGACUGUCAAUCAAAACACUCAGAAAUCCUCUUACAAUGGUAUAACACAAUCAGUAAUAGUAAACACAGUCUUAAUUUAAAUGUAAUAAAAGAAGUUUAAUUUUCACAAGAUAAGAAAUGUGAAAAAAAUGUGUACAAACAUUUACCCUAAUUUUCUAUUUACUUGGUGCACAUUUAAGGUCAAUUAUUUUACAUAAUUUAGCCUAGAAUUUAGCCUAGAACUAUUUUCAUGUCAACAUUUCUUGUUUGUUUAAGUAGCAUGCUCUCAGGAGUAAUGAUGAUUAAGUUCAAGCAACUGUUGCCAAGGGCUACCGCUGGAACUAGUUGCUAUGGUAAUAGUAGCAUCCGCAUGCCUCUAGAUGGGGCUGUCGCAUAAGCGGUUCAGAUCACUUAAAACGUGAACACUGUAUUCAAGUAUUUAUGCUGAAUAAGAUGUUAUGGAAAUAAUUAUUGUGUCUUAAUAUAAACACUUGCACAUACUUGCUAAUGCAGUGUCGUUUUGAACAAUUG